AUUCCACUUCAAGAAGAAAACUAAGAACUUAGCCUGGCCUUCCGAGUUUCAGUUCUAGGUCAAUUAAAAACUGUGGAACUAGGGCUACACAAUGUUAACCAAACCAACCAAGCAUAAUCAAUUCAAUCCAAUCCAAACCAAAAACCAUGUAUUGACACUUACAUGAUUUGGUUUUAAAAUAUAUUCAAUCUGAAUUUUUGGUUUAUCUUUGGCUUCAAGUCAUAAAAAAGUCAUUGAAAUUGAUUCAAACUGAGAAUAUACUAAGAUUACAUUAUUCUGCAUUAUAUGUAAAUAUUUUUGUAUUGUUAAUUCAUUUUUAACCUUUUCACAUGAUGAAAAAAUUUCUACAUGCAUAAAUAAAAUUUCACUUAUUUUGGUCUUUCAUACAUAGAAUUAAUAAAUAUGUUCAUAUUAUUAUAUUUUAAUAUCAUGUUUGAUGCAAUCUGGGAAAUAUAACUUCAGGAAUUAUUUUGAAUUAAUUUUUUAUUGUAAAAUUAAGAAGUUUAGAUUUCUAUUAUUUAGGAAAUUUAGUUAGGAACUAUUAUUUUAUUUUACUUAGGAAGUUUGAGUUUAUUUUGAAUUCCUACUUAGUAUUGGUUUGGUAUUUCCUAAUUAAUAUUGGUUUAGUAUUUUUUAAUUUUGGGGUUCCUAAUCCUAAUAAUAAUAGGACUAGUUGAUAUAAUAUAAUUACCUAUGCCCUCUAGGUAAUUUGGCAGAGUUUAUUAUGGUUAUUGUUGGCAUUGACAAUUAAUACAAAAUUUGAGAAUUUGUUUUCCCCUCUUGUGUGUUCUAUUGAUUCUCCAUCAAUUUGCUAUUAGAGCUACUUUGAUCCGUUUGCCUUUGAAAUGAACAAUAAGGGGGAGAGUUUGUUAUGAUUAUUAUUGACAAUUGAGAGUUAAUAAAAUUUGAAACUAUUUCUUUUUGCCCUUUGAGGGUUCUUUGGUUUUGCAUCAAUGUUAUUUGAAUGUCUUGAAUUUUCUUCGAAGCAAUUUUGCUUUAUAGCAUAAAUUGAUCAAACUGUUUAUGCAAACUAACCGAAUUUGAAUAUCUUUUAGUCUUAUUUGAUUUGAUUAUUUUUUUUAUUAUUUACAAAUAUACUUUAUUGUUUUGGUUUGAAAUAUCUAUCUUAAACCAAAUCAUGAACACCUCAGUUGAACGAUUGACAGGUUUUGGGCUUGGGUUUGACUAGGCUAGUUCCUGUCCAGGUGUAAGACUGAAACGACUCGUGGCCAUCUUUACCAAAGAGGAAAAAACCUUUUGUAUUUUUUUGGUUGACAGCAGUUUUAUAUUUAAUGGUUUUUAAACAACAAAAGAAAACUUAAUAGUAAUGUCAAGUAGAUUCUAAUGUUGUUUUGAAAGGUGAUUGACAUGUUUUAGUCAUAAAAAUUCCAAAACAGAUACACAAUAGUUUCAAAUGACUUUAUGCAACAUCAUCUAAAUGGAUAAAUUUUGACAAAGCAAUUUCAAUCUCAAUGUCUUAUUGUGAUGUAGAACCUUACCAAGAUUCCUCAUUCAUGACUUGCUUAGUCAAUCCAUAAAAGGGAAGUUUUGAUGCAAUUUGCUGUCAUCCCAAGUGCACCUUAGUCCUUAAAACUAACUUUUAGUUGCUUUUAUUCAAAUCAUUCAAUUGGGUGCAUUUCUUAUGAGUGGCCACAAUAGCAAUGCGAUAUAUAUAUUCUUAAUUAUGUUGUUUGAUAAGCUGAUGUGAUGCCUAUUUUUUCAUCCAAUGGUCCAUUCUUUUUUCUUAUUUUUUCAACCUUUUUAUUAAUUAACUUUGAAGAAAUAAUCUUGUUUGGGUAUUUACCUGUUAUGAAUAAGGGAUGGAAGAGCUUGGUGAGUUUAAUUAGAUGGGCUGACUGUAAUGAGCUGGACUGUUAUCUGUUAUUUUGUUAAGUAGUAGGUGUUAGUAUAAGUAGUAGGUGUUAGAGCACUGUUCUCGAGUGGGCUUGCUUCCAAAUCAGUUUGUGGGAGUUGCAACCAUGGGAGGUCAAUGGCAGUCUUCCAAAUUCCAGGGUUCUCCAAAUGAUCUUGCUUAUCGAGAGACUGCAAGAAGGGUUCCGGCAUCAAACAGAUUGCCUUCUUGGAAAUUCUGUCAAGCUGCAUGAAGACCAAGAUGCCUCAAGUGAAGUUUCCAAUAAGAAUGACAAGGGCACUAUUGAGAUGGGGUAGCAUGAUUUUCUUCCUAAUAUGUCUAGUAUAAGUGAGGUUUUUGAGGAGAAGAAUGAUGACGAUGUAGAAGACUGAAACCAUGGAAUUGAAGUUUAUUGGGGUGAUGACAAGGAAUUGAGAAAGAAUGGGGAGAGUGAGGCUAAGGGGAAGGCUAUAUCGCUUGAUAAAAGAUAAUCAUUCAUGGUGGAAAUGAACAGAAUAAGACUCAAAAGGAGGAACAAAAAUUUCAAAUUAUAGAGGUUUUUAUAGAAAAUAAAAAGAUUUCUCAAUGCAUGGAAGACCAUCAUCAGGGUUUGGAUUCAAAAGCUUCCCUUGUCAAUUCAGGGUUUAGAGAAUUGGAGCUUGGGAAUAUUUCGGAAAAUGAACAUGGGAAGAGUGUGAGACUUGUUAAUGGCAACACUUUUAAGAGGGUGUCUUCUGUAAAGAAAGGAAUUGGGUUUUGUUUUGUAAUUAGAAGUGAUACUGAAGGUAGUCUUCUUCUUGUUGGAAUUGUUGAAGAUUUUGAAAACAAUAAUGAUGUCUAUAUUGGGAAUAUUUCAAUUCAAGAAGAUUUGGAAGAGGCAUAUCAUACUCAAAGAGAAUGAAUUUGAAAAAUGGAGGAGACAGAAGAAGAAAAUCCAAUUGAAUGUGGUGGAAAUGCUAAUAAUACUGACACUACUGCCUCUAUUCCAAAAUUUUCUUUUCAAGCUUUGAUGCAGAUGAUUAUAGAUUCUACAAGCAUUUAAGGGUUAGCUUUAUUUAUUUAUUUAUUUUUUCAUUCUUGGGGACAAGAAUGAUUUCAAGGAGUGGGGAAUGUUAUGACUAAGGGAUGGAAGAGUUUGAUGAGUUUAAUUAGAUGGGCUGACUGUAAUGAGCCAGGUUGUUAUCUGUUAUUUUGUUAAGUAGUAGGUGUUAGUAUAAAUAGGAGGGAGUACUUGUAAUUGAGGCAUUUCUAUAAUCAAUAACAAAUGUUGAAUUCUUCUUUCUUU
Molecule: long non-coding RNA, 3137 nt
Organism: Hevea brasiliensis (rubber tree)
Lineage: Eukaryota; Viridiplantae; Streptophyta; Magnoliopsida; Malpighiales; Euphorbiaceae
Exons: 2
Source: RefSeq, a predicted model, not a curated record